This 538-nucleotide unclassified non-coding RNA is filed under the name Penicillium aurantiogriseum. RNAcentral's name for it is "partial contains 18S rRNA, ITS1, 5.8S rRNA, ITS2 and 28S RNA". The stretch from base 160 to 312 matches the Rfam family "5.8S ribosomal RNA". The record is from RNAcentral. Lineage: Eukaryota; Fungi; Ascomycota; Eurotiomycetes; Eurotiales; Aspergillaceae.
GGUCCAACCUCCCACCCGUGUUUAUUUUACCUUGUUGCUUCGGCGGGCCCGCCUUUACUGGCCGCCGGGGGGCUUCACGCCCCCGGGCCCGCGCCCGCCGAAGACACCCUCGAACUCUGUCUGAAGAUUGAAGUCUGAGUGAAAAUAUAAAUUAUUUAAAACUUUCAACAACGGAUCUCUUGGUUCCGGCAUCGAUGAAGAACGCAGCGAAAUGCGAUACGUAAUGUGAAUUGCAAAUUCAGUGAAUCAUCGAGUCUUUGAACGCACAUUGCGCCCCCUGGUAUUCCGGGGGGCAUGCCUGUCCGAGCGUCAUUGCUGCCCUCAAGCCCGGCUUGUGUGUUGGGCCCCGUCCUCCGAUUCCGGGGGACGGGCCCGAAAGGCAGCGGCGGCACCGCGUCCGGUCCUCGAGCGUAUGGGGCUUUGUCACCCGCUCCGUAGGCCCGGCCGGCGCUUGCCGAUCAACCCAAAUUUUUAUCCAGGUUGACCUCGGAUCAGGUAGGGAUACCCGCUGAACUUAAGCAUAUCAAUAAGCGGAGGA